RNAcentral lists this unclassified non-coding RNA (372 nucleotides) under uncultured bacterium. Its description in RNAcentral is "contains 16S-23S intergenic spacer region". The record is from RNAcentral.
UCCCACUUACAUGGGCAGUUUGUUCCGAGUUCCCGACAUUACUCGCUGGCAACAGAACAUGAGGGUUGCGCUCGUUGCGGGACUUAACCCAACAUUUCACAACACGAGCUGACGACAGCCAUGCACCACCUGUGUAACACCUUCGAAAGCGGCUCCUUUUGGGGAGCUUGCAGUUACAUGUCAAGCCUGGGUAAGGUUCUUCGCGUUGCAUCGAAUUAAGCCAUAUGCUCCACCGCUUGUGCGGUCCCCCGCCAAUUCCUUUGAGUUUCAACCUUGCGGCCGUAGUCCCCAGGCGGAUCACUUAAUGCGUUAGCUGCGGCACCGAGGGAAACCCCCCGACACCUAGUGAUCAUCGUUUAGGGCCGAGACUAC